RNAcentral lists this ribosomal RNA (415 nucleotides) under uncultured microorganism. RNAcentral describes it as "bacterial SSU rRNA". It matches the Rfam family "Bacterial small subunit ribosomal RNA", at positions 9 to 420 of the family's 1533-position model. The record is from RNAcentral.
GAGUUUGAUCGUGGCUCAGAUUGAACGCUGGCGGCAUGCCUUACACAUGCAAGUCGAACGGCAGCAUGAUCUAGCUUGCUAGAUUGAUGGCGAGUGGCGAACGGGUGAGUAAUACGUCGGAACGUGCCCUGUAGUGGGGGAUAACUAGUCGAAAGAUUAGCUAAUACCGCAUACGACCUGAGGGUGAAAGUGGGGGACCGGCAGGGCCUCAUGCUAUAGGAGCGGCCGAUGUCUGAUUAGCUAGUUGGUGGGUAAAGGCCCACCAAGGCGACGAUCAGUAGCUGGUCUGAGAGGACGAUCAGCCACACUGGGACUGAGACACGGCCCAGACUCCUACGGGAGGCAGCAGUGGGGAAUUUUGGACAAUGGGCGAAAGCCUGAUCCAGCAAUGCCGCGUGUGUGAAGAAGGCCUCGG